Molecule: ribosomal RNA, 250 nt
Filed under: uncultured bacterium
Lineage: Bacteria
Description: partial 16S ribosomal RNA
Rfam family: Bacterial small subunit ribosomal RNA
Source: RNAcentral
AUUGAACGCUGGCGGCAUGCCUUACACAUGCAAGUCGAACGGUAACGGGCCUUCGGGUGCCGACGAGUGGCGAACGGGUGAGUAAUAUAUCGGAACAUGCCCAGUAGUGGGGGAUAACGUAGCGAAAGUUACGCUAAUACCGCAUACGUCCUAAGGGAGAAAGGGGGGGAUCGCAAGACCUCUCGCUAUUGGAGUGGCCGAUAUCGGAUUAGCUAGUUGGUGAGGUAAAGGCUCACCAAGGCGACGAUCC